Molecule: transfer RNA, 75 nt
Filed under: Gammaproteobacteria bacterium
Lineage: Bacteria; Pseudomonadati; Pseudomonadota; Gammaproteobacteria
Description: tRNA-Asp
Rfam family: tRNA
About the family: Transfer RNA (tRNA) molecules are approximately 80 nucleotides in length. Their secondary structure includes four short double-helical elements and three loops (D, anti-codon, and T loops). Further hydrogen bonds mediate the characteristic L-shaped molecular structure. tRNAs have two regions of fundamental functional importance: the anti-codon, which is responsible for specific mRNA codon recognition, and the 3' end, to which the tRNAs corresponding amino acid is attached (by aminoacyl-tRNA synthetases). tRNAs cope with the degeneracy of the genetic code in two manners: having more than one tRNA (with a specific anti-codon) for a particular amino acid; and 'wobble' base-pairing, i.e. permitting non-standard base-pairing at the 3rd anti-codon position.
Source: RNAcentral
GCUGCGGUAGCUCAAUGGCAGAGCAUCGGAUUGUCGAUCCGAAAGAUGUCGGUUCAAGCCCGAUCCACAGCGCCA